GCCGAGCUGAAUAGCACCAGCUUCAGCUUGUGAUCCAAGUGGGGGGAUCAAGGUGAUGGGACAUAGCUUUGGCUUAACAGGUUGGGUUUGUCGCUGCACUAUGCUGGCCUGCUCGCUCCAAGUUGAGAGUUGAGCCACGGGACUUGUGCUAAAGCACGGGUCUUAUGGGUCUUAGACAAGAGGGUACAGCGUGAGGCUGGUUUAACAGAGCAGCGAACACCUCCUUCUCCUGACAGUGGAGGGAUCACAGGCUGCUGCACCUCCAACCCACAACACCUGGUGAGCCUAGCCACAUGAACUAUUAUUUUU
RNAcentral lists this signal recognition particle RNA (309 nucleotides) under Trifolium pratense (red clover). Its description in RNAcentral is "SRP RNA Plant_SRP". It matches the Rfam family "Plant signal recognition particle RNA". The record is from Rfam by way of RNAcentral. Lineage: Eukaryota; Viridiplantae; Streptophyta; Magnoliopsida; Fabales; Fabaceae.